UAGGGAAUCUUCCGCAAUGGGCGAAAGCUUGACGGAGCAACGCCGCGUGAGUGAUGAAGGUCUUCGGAUCGUAAAACUCUUUUAUUAGGGAAGAACAAAUGUGUAAGUAACUAUGCACGUCUUGACGGUACCUAAUCAGAAAGCCACGGCUAACUACGUGCCAGCAGCCGCGGUAAUACGUAGGUGGCAAGCGUUAUCCGGAAUUAUUGGGCGUAAAGCGCGCGUAGGCGGUUUUUUAAGUCUGAUGUGAAAGCCCACGGCUCAACCGUGGAGGGUCAUUGGAAACUGGAAAACUUGAGUGCAGAAAAGGAAAGUGGAAUUCCAUGUGUAGCGGUGAAAUGCGCAGAGAUAUGGAGGAACACCAGUGGCGAAGGCGACUUUCUGGUCUGUAACUGACGCUGAUGUGCGAAAGCGUGGGGAUCAAACAGG
RNAcentral lists this ribosomal RNA (429 nucleotides) under Actinomycetes bacterium. Its description in RNAcentral is "Actinobacteria bacterium partial 16S ribosomal RNA". It matches the Rfam family "Bacterial small subunit ribosomal RNA", at positions 355 to 776 of the family's 1533-position model. Lineage: Bacteria; Bacillati; Actinomycetota; Actinomycetes. The record is from RNAcentral.